RNAcentral lists this ribosomal RNA (253 nucleotides) under uncultured bacterium. RNAcentral's name for it is "partial 16S ribosomal RNA". It matches the Rfam family "Bacterial small subunit ribosomal RNA", at positions 524 to 776 of the family's 1533-position model. The record is from RNAcentral.
UACGUAGGGGGCAAGCGUUGUCCGGAUUUAUUGGGCGUAAAGAGCGUGUAGGCGGCCAUACAGGUCCGUUGUGAAAACUGGAGGCUUAACCUCCAGACGUCGAUGGAAACCGUAUGGCUAGAGUCCGGAAGAGGAGAGUGGAAUUCCUGGUGUAGCGGUGAAAUGCGCAGAUAUCAGGAAGAACACCAAUGGCGAAGGCAGCUCUCUGGGACGGUACUGACGCUGAGACGCGAAAGCGUGGGGAGCGAACAGG